GAUGAACGCUGGCGGCGUGCCUAAUACAUGCAAGUCGAGCGAACAGACGAGGAGCUUGCUCCUCUGACGUUAGCGGCGGACGGGUGAGUAACACGGGGAUAACCUACCUAUAAGACUGGGAUAACUUCGGGAAACCGGAGCUAAUACCGGAUAAUAUAUUGAACCGCAUGGUUCAAUAGUGAAAGACGGUGUUGCUGUCACUUAUAGAUGGAUCCGCGCCGCAUUAGCUAGUUGGUAAGGUAACGGCUUACCAAGGCAACGAUGCGUAGCCGACCUGAGAGGGUGAUCGGCCACACUGGAACUGAGACACGGUCCAGACUCCUACGGGAGGCAGCAGUAGGGAAUCUUCCGCAAUGGGCGAAAGCCUGACGGAGCAACGCCGCGUGAGUGAUGAAGGUCUUCGGAUCGUAAAACUCUGUUAUUAGGGAAGAACAAAUGUGUAAGUAACUAUGCACGUCUUGACGGUACCUAAUCAGAAAGCCACGGCUAACUACGUG
RNAcentral lists this ribosomal RNA (497 nucleotides) under uncultured bacterium. Its description in RNAcentral is "partial 16S ribosomal RNA". It matches the Rfam family "Bacterial small subunit ribosomal RNA", at positions 28 to 507 of the family's 1533-position model. The record is from RNAcentral.